RNAcentral lists this long non-coding RNA (2205 nucleotides) under Marmota monax (woodchuck). The stretch from base 1868 to 1936 matches the Rfam family "tRNA". The record is from RNAcentral. Lineage: Eukaryota; Metazoa; Chordata; Mammalia; Rodentia; Sciuridae.
AGAUAAAGUGCAAGAAAAAAAAAAAACAGACACAAAAAUAAAAAUAAAAGUACAGAAAACCAUAUACUAUGCAAACUGUAACCAAAAAAGUUGGAGUAGCUAUAUUGAUAAUUGGAAAAAUAUUAAAUAUCACUAGAGACAAAGAGGAACAUUUAUAAUGAUAAAAGCUAUAUCAAUUAUAAAUGUACACAUAUCCAACAACAGAUCCCCAAAAUACACAAAGCAAAAAUUGACAACAGAAAGGAGAACUAGGUUCAAUAAUAACUGGCCUGGACCUGGAUCAGUAAUUUAAAUUUCUACCCUAAGAUACAAAAAGAACAAACAACCCAAAGCAAGCAGAAGGAAGGAAAAUACAAAGAUUAGAGUGGAAACUAAUGAAAGAGAAAACGGUAAACAUUAGAGAAAUGUUGAUAAAACCAAAAGUUAGCUCUUUAAAAAAGAUCAACAAAGUCAACAAACAAGAAGAAAAGGGAGAAGACCCAAAUUCCCAAAGUCGGGAAUGAAAAAGAAAACACUAGUGAUCCUACUCAAAAGGAUUAUAAAGGAACAACCUGAUAAAGAUUAUGAGGAACCACCUUAUACUACCAGAUUAGACAAUUUAGAUAGAAGAAGUUUCUAGAAAGACACAAAUUUACCAAAACCGACUUGAGAAGAAAAAAAAUCUGAAUAGACCCAAACUGUUAAAUAUAGACCCAAACCAUUAAAUAAGUUAAAUUAAGCAUUAAAAAUCUUCCCAUGAAGAAAAGGCGGGUCCCAGAAAGCUUCACUGGUGACCACCCUGUCAAAUACUGAAAGAAGAAAUACCAUUCAUCACAACUCAGGAGACAGGGAGGGAACACUCGUUCCAUUCUAUGAGGCCGGUGUUAUCCUGACACAAAAGACAAAGACAUCACAGACAUCACAGAACUACGGACCAGAAUCUCUCAUGAACAUAGAUGCAAAAAUCCUUAGCAAAUAUUAGCAAAUGGAAUCCAGCAACAUAAAAAAAAAAAAUAAGAUUACACCAUAGCCACAGGGAUUUGUCCCCGGAGUACAAAGUUAGUUUAACAUCCCAAAUCAAUUAAUGGAAUACACCAUAUUAAUAGAGUAAGGGAUAAAACCCACAUGAUCAUCUCAACAGUAGCAUAAAAAGCGUCUGGAAAUCCAACACGAUGCAGAUGUUCAGCAUCAUUAGUCAUCGGGGAAAUGGGAAUUGAAGGCACAAUGAGAUUCCCCACCUGGAUGGCUAUCAUCAGAAGACAGACGACAAGAAGUAUUAGGAGGGAUGUGGAGAAACUGGAACCUCAAUUGCCAGUGGCACAUUUGGCAAUUUCUUUCUUUCUUUUUUUUCUUUUUUCUUUUUUUUGUACAAGGAAUUGAACCCAGGCUUACUUAUUAAGCCACAUCCCCAGCCCUUUUUGAGACAGGAUCUCACUAAGUUGUAUAGGACUUCACCAAGUUGUCGAGGCUGGCCUCAAACUUGCCAUCCUCCUAUUCAGCCUCCUGAGCUGCUGGAAUUACAGGUGUGAGUCACUGGUCCCAGCUACAUUCCACAAUUUCUUAGAAAGUUAAAUGCCAUUAACGAACAGAUCUAGCAGUUCCAUGACAAUGUAUGUAUCCAAGAGAAUCGCAAACAUGUUUCACGAAGACUCUAUCAGCUUUAUAUAUCAUGGCCACAAUUCGGAAGAAAUCCAAAUACUUGUCCAUCUGUGAGGAACGCAUCAGGGCAUCACCCACUCGAUGGGAGACUCAUCUGCAAUAAAAGGGACCCAACUACCAGAAACAUGCUGGAACACAGACGAGCCUCAUCUGAAACUAAAGCCAGGCAGAAAGACGACAUAUUGUACGAUUUUUAUAAGAAACAUUGAGAAAAAGCAAAUCUAGGGCUGGGGUUGUGGCUCAAUGGUAGAACACUUGCCUCCUAUGUGUGAAGCACUGGGUUCGAUCCCCAGCACCACAUUAAAAAAAUAAUAAUAAAAUAAUAAUAAACAAAAUAAAGUUAUUUAAAAAAAAAGAAAAAGAGCAAAUCUACAAGUACAGGAAGCAGGUAAGUUACAACCCAGGCCCAGAAGUGGGAUUUACUGCAAACCAGCGGACGAACUCCAGGUGACGGACUGUCCUACAGGUGCAGCACCCUGCUGGCAGCACCACUCCACAAAUGUGCUGAAAAGCGCCAAACUGUGUGUUUAUGGUGGUGAAUUUUAUGGUAUGUAAAUUAUACCUCAG